RNAcentral lists this ribosomal RNA (252 nucleotides) under uncultured bacterium. Its description in RNAcentral is "partial 16S ribosomal RNA". It matches the Rfam family "Bacterial small subunit ribosomal RNA", at positions 526 to 779 of the family's 1533-position model. The record is from RNAcentral.
CGGAGGAUCCGAGCGUUAUCCGGAUUUAUUGGGUUUAAAGGGUGCGUAGGCGGCCUAUUAAGUCAGGGUGAAAUACGGUGGCUCAACCAUCGCAGUGCCUUUGAUACUGAUGGGCUUGAAUCCAUUUGAAGUGGGCGGAAUAAGACAAGUAGCGGUGAAAUGCAUAGAUAUGUCUUAGAACUCCGAUUGCGAAGGCAGCUCACUAAGCUGGUAUUGACGCUGAUGCACGAAAGCGUGGGAUCGAACAGGAUU